Molecule: ribosomal RNA, 497 nt
Filed under: uncultured bacterium
Lineage: Bacteria
Description: partial 16S ribosomal RNA
Rfam family: Bacterial small subunit ribosomal RNA
Source: RNAcentral
GACGAACGCUGGCGGCGUGCCUAAUACAUGCAAGUUGAGCGCUGAAGGUUGGUACUUGUACCAACUGGAUGAGCAGCGAACGGGUGAGUAACGCGUGGGGAAUCUGCCUUUGAGCGGGGGACAACAUUUGGAAACGAAUGCUAAUACCGCAUAAAAACUUUAAACACAAGUUUUAAGUUUGAAAGAUGCAAUUGCAUCACUCAAAGAUGAUCCCGCGUUGUAUUAGCUAGUUGGUGAGGUAAAGGCUCACCAAGGCGAUGAUACAUAGCCGACCUGAGAGGGUGAUCGGCCACAUUGGGACGGAGACACGGCCCAAACUCCUACGGGAGGCAGCAGUAGGGAAUCUUCGGCAAUGGACGAAAGUCUGACCGAGCAACGCCGCGUGAGUGAAGAAGGUUUUCGGAACGUAAAACUCUGUUGGUAGAGAAGAACGUUGGUGAGAGUGGAAAGCUCAUCAAGUGACGGUAACUACCCAGAAAGGGACGGCUAACUACGUG